UGUAGUCAUAUGCUUGUCUCAAAGAUUAAGCCAUGCAUGUCUAAGUAUAAGCAAUUAUACGGCGAAACUGCGAAUGGCUCAUUAUAUAAGUUAUUGUUUAUUUGAUAGUACCUUACUACUUGGAUAACCGUGGUAAUUCUAGAGCUAAUACAUGCUAAAAACCCCGACUUCGGAAGGGGUGAAUUUAUUAGAUUAAAAACCAAUGCCCUCCGGGGCUCCUUGGUGAUUCAUGAUAACUAUUCGAAUCGCAUGGCCUUGCGCCGGCGAUGGUUCAUUCAAAUUUCUUCCCUAUCAACUUUCGAUGUU
Molecule: ribosomal RNA, 306 nt
Filed under: uncultured fungus
Lineage: Eukaryota; Fungi
Description: SSU rRNA
Rfam family: Eukaryotic small subunit ribosomal RNA
Source: RNAcentral